RNAcentral lists this ribosomal RNA (253 nucleotides) under uncultured bacterium. RNAcentral's name for it is "partial 16S ribosomal RNA". It matches the Rfam family "Bacterial small subunit ribosomal RNA", at positions 524 to 776 of the family's 1533-position model. The record is from RNAcentral.
UACGAAGGGGGCUAGCGUUGCUCGGAAUCACUGGGCGUAAAGGGUGCGUAGGCGGGUCUUUAAGUCAGGGGUGAAAUCCUGGAGCUCAACUCCAGAACUGCCUUUGAUACUGAGGAUCUUGAGUUCGGGAGAGGUGAGUGGAACUGCGAGUGUAGAGGUGAAAUUCGUAGAUAUUAGGAAGAACACCAGUGGCGAAGGCGGCUCACUGGUCCGGUACUGACGCUGAGGUGCGAAAGCGUGGGGAGCAAACAGG